GGCAGAAACCCAGAGGAGAGUUAAUGUCUAGUGUGGCACUGGCAGCAGUGAGCAUGCCCAGGGCAGGGCCCCAGCACUGCCAAGGGUGCGGGACACGGUGCUUCCCCAGGAGGGAGAUCAUCCCCAGACACAUCCUGGCAGUGUCAGUAUUUUGCCUUUCUGGCUGGGCCGUGGUCACAUAAACUGAAUUCUGUUCCCUCUGAAAGCUCCUCAGAGUUGCUGGGCUGUAUCAACAGUGGAGCUACAAAGGAUCUGCUAAAUUAACUGCAGCAAUGAAGAAAAGGAAAUGAGAUCCCAUGUUUGGUGCCCAGUGAUAAAUCAAUGCACCACAACAAGCUUGUGCUGCCAUCAGCAGUGGCACUAAAACCCCUUCACACUCGGGUUAAGAAGAUUCUUUCCCAGAUGGGCAUCCUCACAAACCAGACCCUCCUUUCUAUCUGCUGCGUGUUCAGAAAUUCCCUACUGUCACCACAGAAUGUGUAUGUUUCUUUAAUCAUCUCUCGUUAUCCCAGGCUUGGCAGGGAAGCAGACCAAAGCUGUGCAUCCUAAGAUAGGAAUUCAACAGGCAGCAUUUUUUCCUGCUAGUCUGGGUUCUCCUAGGUGACUGGAAAAUCUGUAUUUGGCUUUCCUGACUAUUUUCUCUGGGUUUCCAAACGACAGACACAACAGUCUCUCAUGGGUGCCAGGCCUGCAGAACGUGUUCCUGUCCCCAUGCUGUUCCAGAGCUGCCCCUGGUGCAGGGCAUGCCAGUGUCUGGUGCUUCAGCAGAGCCCACUGGAACCACUGUGAGCCAUGCUCCCAAGGCAGCCCUGCCCAUGGCUCAAGCUGAGGCUCCUUCACACCGUCCCCAUGAGCGCAGUGCAGCCCCAAGCAGGAAGACGCUGGCAGGAUGAUCCUUAACACCACAGGAGGUGGGCUUGGGGCAUCACAGAACCAUCUGAGUUAGAAAGGGUGCUCAGCCCCAGCCUCACCUCACUGGAGCAGAGCAGCAGCAGGGCUCAGGUAUGGUGUGGGAACUGGGUGAUGUGGCCACCAGAAGCUGAUGCUGCACUCAUGGCACACAGCUGCUGGUGGAAGGCCGGAUGGACUGGGUGUGUGCCAAAGAACAGUGACUGUCGGCAGCAGAAGGGAGGCAAAAGAUGCCAAGUGGGUGCUCUGCUGACGGCCUCAACUAAAUGGUGUGAGAGUGCAGGGCACUGCGGUGUGUGACACAGAAGUAAACCCAUUAACACACGGUGCAGUCCUGCUGCCAUCCGCGCUCCCAUAGCUCACCAACUAUGACUCCCAUACACCCACCUGAAAUUCCCAAGCCGUGAGGACAUCCCUUCCGCUCCCAUUUCUGAAUACUGAAGAACUUUCAUUUAAACAGUAAAGGUUGUUAACAACAGCGAGGGCCGGGGUUACAGUAAAGGGCUCCUUGUCUCCCUGACGUGGUCACAGACACGUGGGAUGCCUCUUGCUACAAGAGCUGCUUUUCAGGAAGCUGCUGGGAGGCGGCCCAGCGUGGGUCCCUGCUCGGAUGCCUUGCUGGAGCUGAUGCACGAGCAGGACAGGACAUCCCCGGCCAUUGGGAACUCCAGCCCCUCCUCCCCAAGCGUGAGGGGCUUGGGCAGGGACCAGGCUUGGCACACUGCUGCUGUGGGGAUGGUGCCCAUAUGGAUCCUUACACAGGACUGAGCUGCUGGGGAUACUGGCAGCCCUGAGCAGGGCAGGAUUCAAGGGAUUUGUAUUUCCAAGAUGUGUGGCAGAAGCAAAGUGUUCCUUCCUGCUGAUCUGUAGCAUGGCUUCUGUUUAGGUAAUCACAGGAGAGGGAGCAGGACCUUGUACUGAUCCCCUUCUCACCACAAUUACCGGGGUCUAGACAGGAAACUCAGCGUCUCUGAUGCUCUUUCCCGGGGAGUAGCAGUGCUGUGAGCCAGCGGGGCUGACACAUCCCCACCCAUCCAGGCUGCCGUGUGGGGCUGGCAGCACAGCUCUGAAGUCAUCCUUGAGUCUGUUCCAGCCUGGCCGGCCCUGCUGGGCUGCCAAUAGCCGCUAGCUGUACAAGGAAUGCCCUCUGCGGCCUCCCAGACUCCACCUCUGCAAUUCCUGCACCUGAUCCUGCCUGGCGUUAAAGGAAUUCUGAAACUGCAGGCUUGGAGGCACUAAAUGCAUUGGCUUUUUGGGAGCACUUUCUCCAGCUCUGUUCUCUGUCAGCUACUCUCUGCUCUCAAAGGUUCAGAACUCUGCCCUGCUGCUGUGAUCACCAUUUCCAGCAUCUCCCACGCAGGGAGGAAUGACCUGAGGCUGCAGCCCUGGUGGUGCAGAAGAAGCCUUUGCUGCAGGAGGAGCAGGAGGCAGCCCAGAAGGCAGCUGAAUGCACGUAGGGACACAACAGGAUUUGCAGCAACAAAUGUCCAAGAGGGCAGCACGCUCAAUAUGCACAUUGAAAUCCAAGCAGCUACCCCACUCCAGAACAGGACAAACUCCUGUUUGUCAUCAAACAUCACAGGCUGUCACCCAUCGGAUCCCAUCUCAGCCACUCCUUGCAGAAACAGCUGCUCCAACCCCUCCUACUCAGCUUCUCCCCUGCACAGGAAGGGCACUGCCACCCACGCUGGAACAUGUGAGACAGCCACUGCUGCCACUGCAGCUAGCAAGGCCCAGGCUAUGUGGAGAGCAGCUGAUAGAAAGUAGAGUUGGAGAAAGCGCUCCCAAAAAGCCAGUGCAGUCAAUGCUUCCAAGCAUGCAGUUUCAUAAUUCCUUUACACUAACCCUGUAGCCAACAAGUUCUCUUCCUCAGCCAGGAAACUGGCAGCAAAGCAAACCACAGAACUGCUGCUAGCCCUGAUAAAAUGUUUUCACUUAAAUCUGCUUUCCCUGCUUGCCACCAAGAAAGAGAGUCAGGACCCACAGCCAAGACCUGCUUUCCAGGCAGCAGAGCACAUCCCUCGUGCUGCUCACAGCUGUUCACAGGGUCAGUCCUCCCUGCACCUCUCAGUACCCCUGCAGUCAUGCCGGGGCUCUCCUGGGCUGCCCCCACUCACACCAACCUUCCAUUUCAUGGGAGCCUUCCCUACCUCCAGGUACUCCUGUGCGUACCCUCCUAGACCCUGCGUGUGGGGCAAGGGGCAGGAAUAGCACAUGCCAACUUGGCAAAAUGCACCCAGUGCCCGGAGCAUCAUAAUGCCCAGCCUUGGUUGGGGGCUGGAGGAGAUGGCAAUUCCAAGGCACCACUCACUGCACCACAGGGUCAGGUCUGUGCCCAGGUGCUUCUGCACACAAUGAAAGCAAUGCCCUGAGUACUUCCAGUUGUCACUACCCUGUGUCACAGCUUGAACUUUGCUCCCUGCUGCAGGUAACCUUCCACAGUCUGCUCCCUGACCAGCUCCAUGCUAUGUGCUCUCAGCAGCUGCUGCAGAAAUUCUGGAUUUAGUGCAAAUACACCUGCAGGCCACAGCCCUGAGGAACAGCAGUUAGGUUAGCAGACAUAGGCAGUGACCUCCUGACACUGCAUAAACCUCCCACCUCCACUGCUAUUGCAUCACGCUGUGAACAGCAGCCAGGCUUUGUCCACGAUGACACAUCCAGACUGUGCAUUCCUGUCAGAUUAAGGAGCCAGCAUCCACAGAUUCCACAGCAAGAAAAAAAAACAUUCAUCAGCUCCUUGUGGAUCAGAUUCAGAUGAUCAAAGCACUAUACUCACACAGCAUCAUAAUCGGGGCACCACUGCCUUCAGAGCGCUGCCCAGGGCUGGCAGCUCCAUGCAGGGGUUUGGGGCCAGGACACUCAGCUCCAACAGCCAGCACAGCAGUGCUGUGCUCAGCAAGAAACCAAAGGACAGCAGCUAAUACUUAUUCAGGCUGCAUUAUGCCUAGACCUCACAGGUGCUGCCCUUUUUCAGACAGCGGCUUAUCAUUCAAUUCCUGCUUCUUUCACUUUUUAAGUUUUACUUCUGUCUCCUUACCUCAGCUUGUAAAUCUGUGGCCUGCAAGCAGAAGUAUGAGGUGCCUAAACUCAAAUAAAAACAUCUCCCGGCAAACGGAAGGAUCCAGCAAUGGAACAAUAUUGGACAAUCCAAAGCACAGAGCAGUGGCUGAGCUGCCACGCGGUGAGAUCUGGACAGGCUGAGAGUUGGGCAGGGAGGAAAAUUAUGAGGUUCAACAAUGGCAAGUAUGGCCCUACACCUGGGGGGGAAUAACUGCACAUAUCAGUACAGGUUGGGGGCUGAGCUGUUGCAGAGGAGCUCUGCAGAGAAGGAGCUGGUAUCCUGGGGUAUUGAUCUUGUGACCAAGAAGGCCAGUGGUAGCCUGGGGCAUAUGAAAAAGAGUGCAGCCGGCAGGACAGGUUCCUCCUCAUCUACUCUGUCCUGGGAAGGCCACAUCUGGAGCACCAUGUCCAGUUCUGGGCUCUCCAGUUGAAAAGAGACAGGGAGCUGCUGGAGAAAGCCCAGGUUCUCAACAAGAAGAGGAGACUGAGGGGGGAAUCAUAUCAGAACUUAUAAAUAUCUAAAUGGUGGGGCCAGGUUCUCUCCAGUAGUGCCCAGCAUCAGGACAAGGGGAAAUGGGCUCAAACUGAAAGACAGAAGCUACAUCUGAACAGGAGAAAGGACUCCUUGAAAGUGACAGAGCACCGGGACAGACUGCCCAGAGCGGCAGUGGAGUCUCCUUCUCUGGAGAUACUCAGAACCCACUGGAUACUUUCCUGUAUAACCCGCUGUGAGCAGCCUGCUUUAGGAGGUGGGGGGGGUCUGGUCAGGAGAUAAGUUCCAGGGGCCUUUUCCAACACAUAUGGUUCUGUGAAUGUGCAUUCUCACAUAUGUAUUUAUUUCUUUUACACUCCUUUCCUACAACUCCAGUGUGUGAGGAUGACACACACUCAGGUCCCUCCAGGAGUCCUCCCUGGAACAGCCCUCCCACACACAGAAGACUGCUGCAGAAGAAUGCCCUGGAGUCUUCAGUUAUGAUGCAGUGCUUCAAAUAGGUGCCCUGAUAUAACUCAUCUUGUGACAGUCUCAAUAAACUCGCUAGCUUAGUUUCUCUAUCCCCCAAAGUUAAAUCAGGUCAUUUUUGGCAUUCCUUGCAGGCUCUGUGUGCACUCUCUUUGGGAAAGUGAUAGGCAGAUCCCAUGAUAGAGCAGAGAAUGCACCCUCGGCUGCAGAGCCCUUCUCCAGAGGAACGUGGGCUGUGCCAUGGGGCUGGGCCACAGCACAGAGCUCUCCUGCACAGGGUCUCACUGUGCCCAAGAGAUGCACUGUGCUCACUGAGUUUUCCACAUAAAACUCCAUGGUAAGGAGGAUCUCCUGAACAGCACUCAGCCAUUCUGCAACAGGAGACAAAAGCAGCUCACGAGCAGCACAGAGGGGAGCCCCACAACUCCCCAGCCUCACCCUGCAGCAUGGUGUGGCACACUGACACCGUGAAUGACACAGCAAUUACCAAAUAUUUAGACGCACUUCAGACUUUCCAAGCAGCAGGGUUAUUGCGCUCAGGAAGUUGCCUGUAGUUUGCUUAAGAGUGAACUGCAAUAGGAAGGGAUCACAGCUGGCUCCUGACGACAGCCACUGACAGCAGCACGAUGAUGCCACCCACCAAGGAGGAGAAGCGAUGAUUCAGGUCCUUGGGUUUUCCCUCACUUACUCUUUCCACAAGGCAAUGGGGACACUCAAUCACUCUCAAGCCAUCUAGUCUGUCCCAGCUGGGAAGGAGAUGUAGCAUCAUAGAACCAUUUGAGUGGGAAGGGACCCCCAAAGGCCAUCCAGCCAAGCAUCGUUCUGCAACAGAGCCCAGGCACACCACACAUAAGUGUCAUGUCAGACACAUGGCAGCAUGUCAAUCAGAGGUGGAGACAGGUGCUUUCCAUGACCAGGAAGUGACAGAUCGUUCCAGUGAACUCGUGCACCCUACCCCAGUGGUGUCUACCAGGGAAAGCUGAUGGGAAACGUUUCAGUAGGUGGCAGCAGAAAUAUAUCUGCUGUGCAGACUCCUGUUGGGACACUUCUUGGAUAAAUCACCCUUCUAGAGGAGAGUUCUCAGACGCAUGUUGCUCUGGGCUCGAUACCACACUCCUGGCAGCCUCAUGGCAGUAGUCAUGUCAUAUACAGAGAACUGGAAACUCACCCUGGUGCUGAAAUCCCCACAUUCUGCCUGGGAGGAAGCGUGCUCCUUGCAAAACAUGACAGAGACAGAAGAAUGAACCAUGAGACAGACGAACUGACCCAAGAGGCUCAGAAAAAUCAGCUGGAAAACACUUGCUGCCUGCUACUAAAAAUUCAUUGUUAUUUAACGCCUCCAAAUAAAAAUUUCCACUGUUAAAGACUCCACAUUUUCUUUCUGUUCAUCAGUGCUGUAAUGUUUGCCAAUCUUCCAUCUUCAGACCUAACAUUCAAAAAACACAUAUAGAAGACCAUUGAAAUACUAAGCUGGAUGGCAAGCAACACAACAGCAGAACAGCCAAGUCAUCAGGCUGGCCUCCCAGGUUUGCUUGCUGAUUUCACCCAUUAUUCUGCAGGAAGAAAAUGAAUGCUCACAGGCUGCCCUCUACAAUUCAGUGUUCUGGAUAUUUUAAAAGCAAAUCUGGAAUACAACUAGCAAGGUAAGUCCUUCUUAUCAAAUAACAUUCAAAGAAAUCUUCAGCAAUGACAGCAUAAUAGUAUGGAAAUACAGUCAAGGAGAAUUUUUUCAACAGUUAAAAACCAUGCAUCACUGUAAGCUAAGCAAACCUGUACCGCAGAAACAGAGACCAAAUGCACACCACGCUACAAAGCCAAGUGCUUUCACAGGACAUGGACAGUCAAGUCCACCUGCCUCUGAGCUUUCACAGCUCCUGCUACCCAGGGUUUGGCUUUAAUGUGCACCGUCACUGAACUCCAAAUCUCUUGUUUUCUAAAUUCAGAUUUGAUUGAGUUUUUUGUUGUUGUUUUUUAAACAGGAUAGGAAACCGUUGUUUAACUGAAAUUGCAGCCACCGGUUUCCAUUUUUCUGGGGUUUUUGUGGGUUUGUUUUGUUUUUUGUUGUUAUUUGUUUGGUUGGUUUUUAAUUGCACAAGGGCUUUGAAAGAUGCCACUCUAAGAUCUCGGUGUUCUGCAAGCCAGCAUGUAAAAGCCACCCAACCUGCUCAGAAGAAUCAACAGCAUCCAAAGCAGCUCUCAAGCACAUGGCACCAGCAUCCCACAAAGAAGUAGAGGACAACUAAGUUCAGAUGAAUUUUAGGAACCCUCCAUAGUUGCCUCUCGUCCUUCAGAUAUAAAGAACGCACAAGACACAGAUCAGCCCCUUCCCUACUUGGAAAGUCCCCCAGGGGGAUUUAGAAGGAGCCUCUGUGGGUCAUACCAAUGAGGUCAAGGUCUGCCCCAGCACUACAGAGCGUCUGGGACAACACCAUGCUGCCAGGUGACAGGAGCUCGUGCUUGGACAGUUACUGUGAACAGCUUUGUACAGUGCAGAAUCAGAAUGCAUUCCUCGUCUACCACAGCAAAGCCUGCAAUCCGUGUGCAGUGCAAUCUCCAACGACAAAUGAUAUUAUUAACAGGUUUGCUCAGGGCCUGCAAGAUGUUCUUUGAGCAUAAAUGGAGUCCACUCUGUUUGGCUUGAAAUUCAGCCUACUCUGCACCAGCAACACAACAGCCAAAAGAAAAACUACAUGCCACAUUCAUUCCUGAAAUGCAUUGGAAUGGAACUGUGGUUAAUUACAGCAGACUGUAAAUUAAAACUCCUCAGUGCUGCUAUUAGCUGUGCUUAGCAAUCACUUCCUCCUCCUCCUCCUCCUCUCCUUCCUCUCUCUUGUUCCACACCACCUUGUCUUUUCUACGGGAAUUUCUGCUAUGUUUUCUACUUUGGAAUUUUCUCAAAUCCUUCCUCAUUCUUUUCCAGUCUCUCCACUAGUAUCAUCUUGGCUGUCAUACUCAUUCCUAUUCUUCACAACACAGCACACUACAUCUCUCUCUCCAUUCAGCUCCCCAUUUCAGGCAGUGGUUACAUUUCCAGUUCCCAGCACACGCCAUCCUGCAGACAGAACACAAGGAUCUCAUUCAGCCCUGUGAAAGUGCCAACCGCAACCACCCUUCUGUCAGAUGCAAACCCCACAGCCAGGCAGAUGGGAGCUGCUCUUCAGAAUCAUCACCAGCAUCAUCACAUUGAUGCUCCUAUACUGCAUUUGCAUGCUGGAUAAGAGAAAUUUGGAAAGAAAUAUACUGCUCCUGCUGUAGCUGUCAUCAGUGAAAAAAACAAAGCUGCAAGGUGCCCUCAGAAUUUCCUCCCACAAAGUCACCAAGCCCUCAAAAUAAUGAUCACAGGUACUGCCCCACAUCUGUCCAAGGCCACAUUCUCAAAGCUGAAGCUGCAAACCCGAAAGCCAUGGGAGCUUUUUUGCUACUAAAAAAUUACCAGAAAUGCCCUGCUGCUGGAGGGGGCCCUAGGCAGCCUGCUCUGGUGGUUGGCAACCCCAUGCAUAGCACAGGAGUUGGAAACUGAUGGAGGCCCUUCCAACCCAAGCCAUUCUAUGCUCUGUCUCAAAACAGACACAUUUUCUCAGCCUUAUUUGCUCACUCAUUUAAAAGGGAACAGCAAGUAACACCAGAGCAAAUAUGCCCUAUUCCAAAUGCUUACCAGAUUACCCAGUACUUACAUAUACAAAAUUACAAGAGAAAGUGACAGAGGACUGGGGUCCUUGAGGACAGCAAUGCUCAGCCAGCUCUGAGAUGCCAACAAGAACAGCUCUAGAACGCAGCCAAGUAUUUUUGAACCAGCAGCAUCUACGUGGCCUGGCAUCCCAGCGACUGCUGGUUCUUAAAGAGCAAUGUGAGGAACAAAAAUAGAGCAUAAGGGAACUGAAAGAGAAACCUCACUUUAAAUAUUCCCAAUUGAUUCUAUUCUUUUCCUCUGCUAGCUCCACAUCGGGUUUUUUGUUUCCCUAAGGCAGAGCAAGUGAUUUAUAAUACUACAGGGUUAGUUGGUUGCUUCCUUCUGAAGAGAUCUUUUCUUCCAAAUUUGAAUUCCUAGAUCUCAUGUCCCACUUGGUCACUAUUUACAUAGGACUCACUCAUACCCUGGCCAAAAUGGUCAUCAGGCUCCAGUUACACUGUUCACUGAUGCUGUUAACUUCAUCUGCGACAUGUACACACCCACCAAGUGAUGUUCAUACUAUGUAAGUAAUUCCAUAACUCAGUUUGUUUGCACCAAAAUGUACUGUUUACUCAACUUUAAAACACAGUAUUAGAUACUGAAAUAUUCAUCUGUUAAUGAAUGAGGUUAUGGAGAUGUUUGUUCAGCACACACCAGCCUUCACUAUGACAUAGAACAUACUGAAGUUAUUAAAGGUGGAGUAACAGUGAUGUUCAUGGCAAAGGUUUUCCAUUAACAACAUUUCCAAUUACUUGAAAGCAAAAGCUGACUGAGGUCGCAUGUCUGGAACUCCUGGAGGCAGGCACCUGGCCCAAUGACAAGCACUUCUCCCCUUCUGCUCUGCUUGGGUAACAGUUCAGGUGUUUCUGAGGGAGGACAGAAGCUGGCAGUCCAGGUGUGGGGUUUUUGGAGAGGCAUUUUUAGAGGUAGGAAAGUUGCAAUACAAUUUUAAUUAAUGGUAGGUCCAGAAAUCCACUCGUUCCGGCUUCCAGUUCACAGACACGGUGAUUAUAACAUCAGCUUUAAAGUCCCCUUUGGAUUUGGGAAACUCUUUUUUUCUUAACAUAAGUUUAAUGCAGAAAAUUGUCAACUUUGUACAAAGUCAUAGUAAUAUCCUACCAUAUAUGCUGUAUUUCCAGAGGGACCUAAUAUGUACAGCACAGUUGUUUGUACAUAAUACCGUUCUCCUUGAAGCCAAGCAUGUUCAUUAGACUACUCCAAGAGAAAAGUUGGACUAAGCCCAGUCAUGCCCUUAUCUAUUUAAAGACGCUUUUUAAUUCUGAACUUGCACUGCUGUUCAAGCUCUGAGCAUACUCAGAAAGGGAUUAAUGCAUAUUAAGCUCUGCUCAAAGCCAAUGGAAUACAGGCUUCCAAUGAGCUGAUCCCAAGCAAUCUAGCUUGACUGAACAGGAGCCGGCUGUUCACCCAGAAGUCCCCUUUUGCUCUCCCAGGGUGUGCUUCUGUUUCAACAAACGAUCCCUUAUUCUACAACAUGCAGCUUAUAACAGGCACUGAUAAACCCCAGCAAAUUCCAGGUUAGCCACCCUACAUGAGUUAGCCAGUACCAAACAAGACAAGCAAGCAAUAACAAAAAAGGAAAACUAUGAGUAAUUAUAUUCUGUGCUGCCACCCUUCACGUCCAAGGGUUUUGCAUUUUAAGUCUGAUUUUGAAUUUCCCAUUCACCAGAUCACAAUCUUUAAGCAGAGCUCCCACAGCAGCUCACAUGGGUUGAAAUGGUUGCAGCUUUUCCUCUAUUUGCCAUUACUUCAGAACCCCCCCAUCUCACUGGGUCGCCCAAUAUAGCUCAGCGUAACUGCCCCCCUUCCCCAAGCAGCACAUACCUUACAGCAAAACAAACCCUGCAGCUUAUAUUGGGAGUGUUAUACAUGUACACAUUCUAGAAGCAGCCAUUUAUAGUUCACGUGUCAUUUUACCACUGCACCCAGAGCGGUGCACCCAUGCGAGCCCAGCAGCAUGGGGAGGGGGAUUAGCAGCACGGGCAGCAUGCCAAAAGCGGUCUUAUGUAGGCCACAACAAGGGGAACUUUUACUCAGCUGAACACUCGUAAGCCAUAAACCUAUUUACCUUAAGGAGCUAAAGGAAAAGAAGAGCAACACCAGACUGGCUGCCUCUUAGCUGCUGCAGCCUGCCCAGCGCUCACAGUCACCCUGCUGCAGGUCGAUGCUUCUGCCCCGGUCCCUGGGCUGAAUUCACACCCAGACAGCUUUUUCUUUUUUUUUCUUUUUUUUUUUUUUGGUGGGGGGAGGAUGGGAUCUGUCAGUAGCUACAGCGUAUUACAUUACCUCUCACAAAGAUAGUAACACAGCUUGCAAGCAGCAGUUUCUGCAUUGCCAGACACUUAACUAGAUGGUAGAAUUAUACCAUUGUUCAUACUUGGUUCUUUUAAAAAACUGAAAUUGGGAAUAUAUCUGAGUGUGUAUUAAAUAUAGCACAACCCUAAAUAACAAACCAGUACUGUGGUCAGCUUGUAAAGGACUUCAUCCAUUCUUUUCGAAGGCUCAAGAGAGAUAAGUGGAAUUAAAGGGAAAAAAAAAAAAAAAAAA
Molecule: non-coding RNA, 11165 nt
Organism: Coturnix japonica (Japanese quail)
Lineage: Eukaryota; Metazoa; Chordata; Aves; Galliformes; Phasianidae
Source: RefSeq, a predicted model, not a curated record